UCUGCCACUGGCCUGCCGAACAGGGACUUCCCGCCCUGGGAGCCUCUCAGGCUGUUUGUGUCUGAGUGUGACUGAAAACCAUUUGGUAACAUCAGCUGGGGGUGCUUGUGAAAAGACAAGUUCCUGGGGUGCCUGGGUGGCUCAGUUGGUUAAGUGUCUGACUCUUGCUUUCAGCUCAGGUCACGAUGUCGCGGUUCACAGGAUCGAGCCCUGCGUCGGCUUCUGUGCUGACGGUGCGGAGCCUGCUUGGGGUUCUCUCUCCCUCUCUCUCUGCCUCUCCCCUGCUUGCAUAUGCUCUCGCUCUCUCUCUCAAAAUAAAUAAAUAAACUUUAAAGAAAAGAAAAAAGACAGGCUCCUGACCUCUUGACUCAGAAGUUAUCUGUCAGGGAAUGUGGAUUGUAACAAGUUUGGGGGGCCACUGCUACCCAGAGUGUGGACCUGAACCCACACGGGCUCCACUUGGGAGCUUGUUAGAAACGCAAAUUCACAGUCCUGUCCAGAACCCCCGCAUCAGCCCCUCUGGAGGUAGGGCCCGAGGUUCUGUGUGAUUCUCGAGCCCCACGCCUGCUGGACCGGGUAAAAGCAGUGUGUUCGUUUCUUCUUGCUGCUGUGACCAAUCACCACAAGCUUAGUGGCUUAAGACAACGCAAAUGUAUUCUCCUACAGUUCUGGGGGCCAGAAGCCUGCAAUCAGUUUCCCCGGGAUAAAGUCAAGGAGUCAGCAGGGUUGUGGUCCUUCCAGAGGCUCCAGGAGCAUCGGUUUCUUUGCCUGUUUUCAACUUCUCGUGGCUGCCUGUGUUUCUUGCCUGGGGGCGCCUUCCUCCAUCUUCAAAGCCUGCCUCUGCUUCUGCCGCCGCAUCUGUCUCCUUCUCUGAGUCUGCCUCCUCCGCCUCCCUCUUACAAGGACGCUGGUGAUGACACUGAACCCACCAGGAUAAUCCAGGAUAAUCUCCCGUCUCAAGAUCCUCGACCUGAUCACGUGUGCAGAGUCCUUUUUGCCAUACUUCCUACCUAAACACAGAUCUCCAGAGACAGAGGAGUGGAAGAAGAGGCAAUAAAUCAUCCACAUUUGGGCAGGAUCAUCUUGCAAAUAACGACAUACCAGUCAACCAAGAGGCUAAGUCCGUCAGUUGAGGCUGUGAAAUCCACUGCAGAAUGUCUUAAUUGAAAGAAAAAAAAUAAUAAACAUUUUCAGGAAACGAGCCCCGCGUUGACAGGAAACAGGACUGUUCCAUGUGUUGGACAAACGUCCCUUCUGAAGAAAAGUGCUGGUCCUUCCACUACUGACACAUCUAUGCAGGCUGACUUAAACCAAUAGCUGAGCUUCUGGGGAAAAGUGGGGACACUGUCUUCUGAAGGCCCCUGCCACGUAAAGGAUUUUCUGCUGUGAGUGUGUGUUAUUCUUAUGGCGGGGAAAAAACGAGCUUUGAAGGACCGUGCUUCUGUGUUGAAUGUAGCGUCUACACAGGCAUCUACUUUGAAGAGCUCUGAGAAUAUGCUCCAGGGAGUGAAGUGAGGAAUAACACAACCAUCCUGGCACUGGCCUCCCUGCUUCUACCCUUGACUCCCUCCAGCUGGUGCUCUGCACGGCAACCAGAGCUUGAAACAUCUCAUGAAGCACUCGCAACAGAAAACAGAAAGAAAAAUGAUACAUGCAGGGAAGCAGAAACGUCAGACAAAGUGAGUUAUUAUAAAUGCGACUACAGUGGGCAGAGGAUGUGAGUCAAUAAUGGGAGGAAACGGCCACGGCCGUCCUCCAUCUUGAAUAGCCCAGAUCCUGACUGGCCUGAC
Long non-coding RNA from Neofelis nebulosa (Clouded leopard), 1790 nucleotides. RefSeq lists it as uncharacterized. NCBI's taxonomy places the organism in Eukaryota, Metazoa, Chordata, Mammalia, Carnivora, Felidae. The transcript is spliced from 4 exons. The record is from RefSeq and is a predicted model, not a curated record.